This 343-nucleotide long non-coding RNA is filed under the name Felis catus (domestic cat). Its description in RNAcentral is "lncRNA (ENSFCAG00000051287.1)". The record is from RNAcentral. Lineage: Eukaryota; Metazoa; Chordata; Mammalia; Carnivora; Felidae.
UUGUUAUGGCUGCUCUAGGAAACGAAUCUGAUGUGUUCUCCCUAAGGUGCAGCUAGCUGUUACCUUCUUCCUCUUACAGAAAAGACUGGACGUGUGGAUGGGCUUCUCAGGGAGAGGAGCAGGGGCGUCCCUGGAGGGAGCCCCCAGAAUGCUGAUGCCACGGACGGGCCACACAAGUGCCGCGACUGUCUAACUCCACCGAAUGUGUAAUUAUAGCAACACAAGCAUCAAAUUACCAGGGACAAGUAGCUGCCAAGUAAUUAUAUGAUUCUUUGUUACUUGGAGGGUUGGGGUUUCCCCCACAUUUAAAGCCGAUUCCUUUAAAAGCUCCGGUUCAGUGGGC